UAAGUACCCCCUCCGUCCGAAAUUAAUUGUCGCAAAAAUGGAUAGAAAUUGAUGUAUUUAGAACUAAAAUACGUCUAGGUACAUCCAUUUGUGCGACAAUUAAUUCCGGACGGAGCGAGUACAUG
Molecule: non-coding RNA, 125 nt
Organism: Hordeum vulgare subsp. vulgare (domesticated barley)
Lineage: Eukaryota; Viridiplantae; Streptophyta; Magnoliopsida; Poales; Poaceae
Source: Rfam